This 568-nucleotide ribosomal RNA is filed under the name uncultured bacterium. Its description in RNAcentral is "bacterial SSU rRNA". It matches the Rfam family "Bacterial small subunit ribosomal RNA", at positions 275 to 835 of the family's 1533-position model. The record is from RNAcentral.
GACGAUCCGUAGCGGGUCUGAGAGGAUGAUCCGCCACACUGGGACUGAGACACGGCCCAGACUCCCACGGGAGGCAGCAGUGGGGAAUUUUGGACAAUGGGCGCAAGCCUGAUCCAGCCAUGCCGCGUGAGUGAAGAAGGCCUUCGGGUUGUAAAGCUCUUUCGGCCGGGAAGAAAUCGUGGUCUCUAACAUAGGCCAUGGAUGACGGUACCGGACUAAGAAGCACCGGCUAACUACGUGCCAGCAGCCGCGGUAAUACGUAGGGUGCGAGCGUUAAUCGGAAUUACUGGGCGUAAAGCGUGCGCAGGCGGUUUGCUAAGACAGGUGUGAAAUCCCCGGGCUUAACCUGGGAACUGCGCUUGUGACUGGCAGGCUAGAGUACGGCAGAGGGGGGUGGAAUUCCUGGUGUAGCAGUGAAAUGCGUAGAGAUCAGGAGGAACACCGAUGGCGAAGGCAGCCCCCUGGGCCUGUACUGACGCUCAUGCACGAAAGCGUGGGGAGCAAACAGGAUUAGAUACCCUGGUAGUCCACGCCCUAAACGAUGUCGACUAGUCGUUCGGAGCAGCAA